RNAcentral lists this ribosomal RNA (253 nucleotides) under uncultured bacterium. RNAcentral describes it as "partial 16S ribosomal RNA". It matches the Rfam family "Bacterial small subunit ribosomal RNA", at positions 524 to 776 of the family's 1533-position model. The record is from RNAcentral.
GACGUAGGGCGCGAGCGUUGUCCGGAUUUAUUGGGCGUAAAGAGCUCGUAGGCGGUUUGUCGCGUCUGCUGUGAAAACCCGAGGCUCAACCUCGGGCCUGCAGUGGGUACGGGCAGACUAGAGUGCGGUAGGGGAGAUUGGAAUUCCUGGUGUAGCGGUGGAAUGCGCAGAUAUCAGGAGGAACACCAGUGGCGAAGGCGGCUCACUGGCCCGGUACUGACGCUGAGGUGCGAAAGCGUGGGGAGCAAACAGG